Molecule: ribosomal RNA, 417 nt
Filed under: Babesia venatorum (nom. ined.)
Lineage: Eukaryota; Apicomplexa; Aconoidasida; Piroplasmida; Babesiidae
Description: SSU rRNA
Rfam family: Eukaryotic small subunit ribosomal RNA
Source: RNAcentral
GUCUGGUGCCAGCAGCCGCGGUAAUUCCAGCUCCAAUAGCGUAUAUUAAACUUGUUGCAGUUAAAAAGCUCGUAGUUGAAUUUCUGCGUUAUCGAGUUAUUGACUCUUGUCUUUAAUCGAUUUCGCUUUUGGGAUUUAUCCCUUUUUACUUUGAGAAAAUUAGAGUGUUUCAAGCAGACUUUUGUCUUGAAUACUUCAGCAUGGAAUAAUAGAGUAGGACUUUGGUUCUAUUUUGUUGGUUUUUGAACCUUAGUAAUGGUUAAUAGGAACGGUUGGGGGCAUUCGUAUUUAACUGUCAGAGGUGAAAUUCUUAGAUUUGUUAAAGACGAACUACUGCGAAAGCAUUUGCCAAGGACGUUUCCAUUAAUCAAGAACGAAAGUUAGGGGAUCGAAGACGAUCAGAUACCGUCGUAGUCC